Molecule: ribosomal RNA, 729 nt
Filed under: Leuconostoc mesenteroides
Lineage: Bacteria; Bacillati; Bacillota; Bacilli; Lactobacillales; Lactobacillaceae
Description: bacterial SSU rRNA
Rfam family: Bacterial small subunit ribosomal RNA
Source: RNAcentral
GGCUCAGGAUGAACGCUGGCGGCGUGCCUAAUACAUGCAAGUCGAACGCACAGCGAAAGGUGCUUGCACCUUUCAAGUGAGUGGCGAACGGGUGAGUAACACGUGGACAACCUGCCUCAAGGCUGGGGAUAACAUUUGGAAACAGAUGCUAAUACCGAAUAAAACUUAGUGUCGCAUGACAAAAAGUUAAAAGGCGCUUCGGCGUCACCUAGAGAUGGAUCCGCGGUGCAUUAGUUAGUUGGUGGGGUAAAGGCCUACCAAGACAAUGAUGCAUAGCCGAGUUGAGAGACUGAUCGGCCACAUUGGGACUGAGACACGGCCCAAACUCCUACGGGAGGCUGCAGUAGGGAAUCUUCCACAAUGGGCGAAAGCCUGAUGGAGCAACGCCGCGUGUGUGAUGAAGGCUUUCGGGUCGUAAAGCACUGUUGUAUGGGAAGAACAGCUAGAAUAGGAAAUGAUUUUAGUUUGACGGUACCAUACCAGAAAGGGACGGCUAAAUACGUGCCAGCAGCCGCGGUAAUACGUAUGUCCCGAGCGUUAUCCGGAUUUAUUGGGCGUAAAGCGAGCGCAGACGGUUUAUUAAGUCUGAUGUGAAAGCCCGGAGCUCAACUCCGGAAUGGCAUUGGAAACUGGUUAACUUGAGUGCAGUAGAGGUAAGUGGAACUCCAUGUGUAGCGGUGGAAUGCGUAGAUAUAUGGAAGAACACCAGUGGCGAAGGCGGCUUACUGG